GAAGGGGCUCCCCUGCUAAGGGAGUAUGUGGCUAAAAACUGCAUCGUGGGUUCGAAUCCCACCAUCUCCGCCA
This 73-nucleotide transfer RNA is filed under the name Bordetella bronchiseptica 00-P-2730. Its description in RNAcentral is "tRNA-OTHER". It matches the Rfam family "tRNA", at positions 18 to 71 of the family's 71-position model. From Rfam's summary of the family: Transfer RNA (tRNA) molecules are approximately 80 nucleotides in length. Their secondary structure includes four short double-helical elements and three loops (D, anti-codon, and T loops). Lineage: Bacteria; Pseudomonadati; Pseudomonadota; Betaproteobacteria; Burkholderiales; Alcaligenaceae. The record is from RNAcentral.